UACGAAGGGGGCUAGCGUUGCUCGGAAUCACUGGGCGUAAAGCGCACGUAGGCGGCUUUCUAAGUCAGGGGUGAAAUCCUGGAGCUCAACUCCAGAACUGCCUUUGAUACUGGGAAGCUCGAGUCCGGAAGAGGUGAGUGGAACUCCGAGUGUAGAGGUGAGAUUCGUAGAUAUUAGGAAGAACACCAGUGGCGAAGGCGGCUCACUGGUCCGGUACUGACGCUGAGGUGCGAAAGCGUGGGGAGCAAACAGG
Molecule: ribosomal RNA, 253 nt
Filed under: uncultured bacterium
Lineage: Bacteria
Description: partial 16S ribosomal RNA
Rfam family: Bacterial small subunit ribosomal RNA
Source: RNAcentral